AUCCUCCUCCUCUUCCCCCACCUCUCUCUCUGUCUGUCUCUCUCUCUCUGUCUGUCUUUCUCUCUCUGUCUGUCUCGCUCUUUCUGUCUGUCUGUCUGUCUGUCUCUCUCUCUCUCUCUGUCUCCUCCUCCUCCUCUCCCUCGCAACAAAGUAUUUUAUCACACUUAGUGAAAUUUUUUUCUCUUUAUUCCAUGCUGACAAAGGCCAUUGCUCUAUUUUCCUAAUUCUCUUCUUUCACAAAAAUAUUGAUAGUGUUUUAUUUGUGUUCCUUGUCGGUCAGUUUCUGGUCAAAACCGACCAGUUGUUGUUAUGCAGUAGCUGUAAAAUGACUUUGAGUAUUUCUAACAUUAUGCUUGUUCCUUUCUUUUUUUUUAUAUCUCACAAUUUAGAAUGGACAACAACAACUGCCCCCUAAAUGACUCCAUGGAUUGUCAGGACAGCCCUAUGCCAUUGAUUGAAGAGCUGAUUUUAAACGACUUAUCCACUGAUUAUUCAGUUGAUGAAUUUAAUUUUGUACCAAUGUUCUAACAGAGCUGUCCUGGUUUUGGAGGGAGUUUGUUAAAACACCCACUUUCUUCUGGAUGUUGUUUUUGUACAAUAACUGACUUCACUGCUGCCUUAGUCAGUAUUACAAACUGCAAUAAUAAGAAUGAUAAUGCUAUUUUAAUAAUAAUGAUAAUAAUAAUAAUAAUAGAUAAUGAGACGUAUCAGAGAUAUGUGUGUGUAUACAUUCAUACGUACAUACGUAUAUAUGUAUGUAUGUAUGUAUGUAUGUAUGUAUGUAUGUACGUAUGUAUGUAUGUAUAUAUGAAAUGUAUUUUUAUUGUAUUAGGAUAUGGAGAUUGUACAUUGAUAUUUUAAAAUUUUAUAUAGUAUACACAUAGUUCCUUAAACUAUACCAAAAGUUAACACCAAAAUGAGCCACAUGGCUCUUGGAUCUUCUAUAUAAAUGAAGAUCUUUCUUUUACUUUGCUGUUUUUCUCUCUAUGAAAUGAGAAAAUACAUUGCGUAACUGUUAUUUUAAUGAGUGAUAUUUAUUUAUCGCCCAGUGAGACACAUCUGCAUCGUUGAAUGCUCCUGAACCAGUUGUUAAGUUUCCCACCCGUGAGGGAUCAAUGUGGAUGUGUCGAAACAAUUGUCGUGAUUGAUAAUAAAAAUUCUCAUAUA
Long non-coding RNA from Octopus bimaculoides (California two-spot octopus), 1167 nucleotides. The record is from RefSeq and is a predicted model, not a curated record. NCBI's taxonomy places the organism in Eukaryota, Metazoa, Mollusca, Cephalopoda, Octopoda, Octopodidae.